Peromyscus maniculatus bairdii (prairie deer mouse) is the source of this 1113-nucleotide non-coding RNA. Lineage: Eukaryota; Metazoa; Chordata; Mammalia; Rodentia; Cricetidae. The record is from RefSeq and is a predicted model, not a curated record.
GGAAACACACCCCUACCAUGGCAGAGACCAGAGUCCUCCUCACCUGAACCAAGCGGGCCCUCAGCGCAGCCGCAGCCCCGCCCCCUGCAGCAGCUCCGCCCUUCUCUCUCCGAACCCUGAGGUCUCCAGUUAAAUGAGACCCCUCAGAGCAGUACAGACUCUAGAGUAAGUUCUCCCUGUCACUCCCACAGUGCCUCACUCCUCUCUUGAGGGUACCUGACCUGAAUCUCUAUGCGCAUGCCUUCCUUUAUCUUUAUACGGCUCAUCUCCUCCACUCGGUGAACCUCAUGUCCCUGAGCACCAGAUCGAACCGUGUCCGGCAUGAAGUAGACUAGCUAUCCCCAACCUGUCGAGGGGUGGCUAGAAGAAGGGGCCCUGGCUUCCUUGCCUCCAAUUCCGUGAAUUGGGGGUGAAUUCUACUAACCUCACAUGGAAAGUCCAGGACUUUUGGGACUCCCCGCUUUCAGUUCUCACUUUGGAGUCCGGAUGGGCAAUAGGAAGAUGGCACCGGUUCUCAUCAGUACAGACCGAAUCGUGUACUGAGGAAAGACUGCUGAGAAGGAAGAUCUGAGAGAAGGGACAGAGGAAGAAGCUGAGGCUCCUGGGUAACCAACAUCUAAGCACCUUUGAAAGCCAAGUCAUCAGUGACCAAUGGGCUGACUUUACUGUGAGCUUUGUGGGAACCAUGGACUCUCACGGAGGAAGACUCCAUGAAGGACAUUGGGUCUGAAGAUUUUGUUCCAGCUAAUGCUCUAGAGGUGGGGCCCACCCACAGCAGGACAAAUGCCAGCCCCGUUGGUUACAAGGACUGCAAGGGCUGGAACUAGAAUCUCUGACCCCAGCUCAUCCCAGGAAAUGUUACACUCAACCCUCAGACCCUCGAGACUGCAUUUCUUACGGGGAUAACAUCAACAACGGGCGAUUCAGCCUGAGAAAAUGAGAGGUGCUUGCUUAUAUUUCAUUGCAAAAGGAAUCAUUUUGCUGAGCCAAGAAUAUUAAGGAAAACACUGGCCUCGUGUCGGCAACAAUGACCCUGAAACCUCUUCAAAUACCUCCCGCCCAUCUCGCCUUUUAUCAAAAAUGAAUAAAAUGCUGAACGAUAACCCACAAUAA